This 904-nucleotide ribosomal RNA is filed under the name Cephalotrichum microsporum. RNAcentral describes it as "LSU rRNA". It matches the Rfam family "Eukaryotic large subunit ribosomal RNA", at positions 35 to 965 of the family's 3401-position model. Lineage: Eukaryota; Fungi; Ascomycota; Sordariomycetes; Microascales; Microascaceae. The record is from RNAcentral.
UAAGCAUAUCAAUAAGCGGAGGAAAAGAAACCAACAGGGAUUGCCUCAGUAACGGCGAGUGAAGCGGCAACAGCUCAAAUUUGAAAUCUGGUCCCCUCUGGGGGCCCGAGUUGUAAUUUGAAGAGGAUGCUUUUGGCGAGGCGCCUUCCGAGUGCCCUGGAACGGGACGCCACAGAGGGUGAGAGCCCCGUAUGGUAGGACGCCGAGCCUCUGUAAAGCUCCUUCGACGAGUCGAGUAGUUUGGGAAUGCUGCUCAAAAUGGGAGGUAAACCCCUUCUAAAGCUAAAUAUUGGCCAGAGACCGAUAGCGCACAAGUAGAGUGAUCGAAAGAUGAAAAGCACUUUGAAAAGAGAGUUAAACAGCACGUGAAAUUGUUGAAAGGGAAGCGCUUGCGACCAGACUUGCGCCCGUCGGAUCAACCGUCCCUCGUGGGCGGCGCACUCCGGCGGGCUCAGGCCAGCAUCAGUUUUCCCGGGGGGAGAAAGGCGGUGGGAAUGUAGCUCUUCGGAGUGUUAUAGCCCGCCGCGUAAUGCCCUCGGGGGGACUGAGGACCGCGCGUAUGCAAGGAUGCUGGCGUAAUGGUCGUCAGCGACCCGUCUUGAAACACGGACCAAGGAGUCGUCCUAAUAUGCGAGUGUACGGGUGUAAAACCCCUGCGCGUAAUGAAAGUGAACGGAGGUGAGAGCUUCGGCGCAUCAUCGACCGAUCCUGAUGUUCUCGGAUGGAUUUGAGUAAGAGCAUAUUGGGCCGGACCCGAAAGAAGGUGAACUAUGCCUGUAUAGGGUGAAGCCAGAGGAAACUCUGGUGGAGGCUCGCAGCGGUUCUGACGUGCAAAUCGAUCGUCAAAUAUGGGCAUGGGGGGCGAAAGACUAAUCGAACCUUCUAGUAGCUGGUUUCCGCCGAA